CGCACUGGGACUGAGACACUGCCCAGACUCCUAACGGGAGGCUGCAGUCGAGAAUCUUCCGCAAUGGGCGAAAGCCUGACGGAGCGACGCCGCGUGGAGGACGAAGGCCCUUGGGGUUGUAAACUCCUGUCACGAGUUAAGAACGGGUCAUCACGAACAGUGGUGAUCUUUGACGUAAGCUCGAGAGGAAGCACUGGCUAACUCUGUGCCAGCAGCCGCGGUAAUACAGAGAGUGCAAAACGUUGUUCGGAAUUACUGGGCUUGAAGCGCACGUAGGCGGCAUCGCAAGUGUGGGGUGAAAUCCCACGGCUUACCCGUGGAACUGCCUGGCAGACUGCGGUGCUAGAGUGUGGUAGGGGGAGAGCGGAACUCCUGGUGGAGCGGUGAAAUGCGUAGAUAUCAGGAGGAACACCGGUGGCGAAGGCGGCUCUCUGGUCCAUAACUGACGCUGAGGUGCGAAAGCUAGGGGAGCAAACGGGAUUAGAUACCCGGUAGUCCUAGCUGUAAACGA
RNAcentral lists this ribosomal RNA (511 nucleotides) under uncultured bacterium. Its description in RNAcentral is "bacterial SSU rRNA". It matches the Rfam family "Bacterial small subunit ribosomal RNA", at positions 309 to 809 of the family's 1533-position model. The record is from RNAcentral.